UACGUAGGCAGCGAGCGUUGUUCGGAAUUACUGGGCGUAAAGCGCACGUAGGUGGCGACGUAAGUCGGGUGUGAAAGCCCCGGGCUCAACCUGGGAAUUGCAUUCGAGACUGCAUUGCUGGAGUACGGAAGAGGAAGGCGGAAUUCCCGGUGUAGCGGUGAAAUGCGUAGAUAUCGGGAGGAACAUCAGUGGCGAAGGCGGCCUUCUGGUCCAGUACUGACACUCAAGUGCGAAAGCGUGGGGAGCAAACAGG
This 253-nucleotide ribosomal RNA is filed under the name uncultured bacterium. RNAcentral's name for it is "partial 16S ribosomal RNA". It matches the Rfam family "Bacterial small subunit ribosomal RNA", at positions 524 to 776 of the family's 1533-position model. The record is from RNAcentral.